Long non-coding RNA from Oncorhynchus keta (chum salmon), 335 nucleotides. RefSeq lists it as uncharacterized. The transcript is spliced from 3 exons. The record is from RefSeq and is a predicted model, not a curated record. Lineage: Eukaryota; Metazoa; Chordata; Actinopteri; Salmoniformes; Salmonidae.
GGUACACACAGAUCGUUCUCCAGGUACACACAGAUCAUUCUCCAGGUACACACAGAUCGUUUUCCAGGUACACACAGAUCGUUUUCCAGGUACACACAGAUCGUUCUCCAGGUACACACAGAUCAUUCUCCAGGUACACACAGAUCGUUUUCCAGGUACACACAGAUCGUUCUCCAGGUACACACAGAUCGUUCUCCAGGUACACACAGAUCAUUCUCCAGGUACACACAGAUCGUUUUCCAGGUACACACAGAUCAUUCUCCAGGUACACACAGAUCGUUUUCCAGGUACACACAGAUCGUUCUCCAGGUACACACAGAUCGUUCUCCAGGUAC